Molecule: unclassified non-coding RNA, 436 nt
Filed under: uncultured Thelephoraceae
Lineage: Eukaryota; Fungi; Basidiomycota; Agaricomycetes; Thelephorales; Thelephoraceae
Description: sequence contains ITS2
Rfam family: 5.8S ribosomal RNA (bases 1-155)
Source: RNAcentral
AACUUUCGGCAACGGAUCACUUGGCUCUCGCAUCGAUGAAGAACGCAGCGAAAUGCGAGAAGUAAUGUGAAUUGCAGAAGUCAGUGAAUCAUCGAAUCUUUGAACGCACCUUGCGCCCUUUGGCUAUUCCGAAGGGCAUGCCUGUUUGAGUAUCAUGAACACCUCAACUCUCGUGGUUCGCCAUGACGAGCUUGGACUCUGGGGGUCUUGCUGUCCUGCAGUCAGCUCCCCUCAAACGGAUCAGCUAUCCAGUGUUUGGCAGCGUCACAGGUGUGAUAAGUAUCUACGCUUGUGGUUUUCUGCCAAGUAACCUUCAGCGAUGGAGGUUCGCUGGGGCUCAUAAAUGUCUCUCCUCCGUGAAGACAGCUUUGUGAAUGUUUGAUCUCAAAUCAGGUAGGACUACCCGCUGAACUUAAGCAUAUCAAAAGCGGAGGCU